GGUUAAGCGACUAAGCGUACACGGUGGAUGCCCUGGCAGUCAGAGGCGAUGAAGGACGUGCUAAUCUGCGAAAAGCGUCGGUAAGGUGAUAUGAACCGUUAUAACCGGCGAUGUCCGAAUGGGGAAACCCAGUGCAAUUCGUUGCACUAUCGUUAACUGAAUACAUAGGUUAACGAGGCGAACCGGGGGAACUGAAACAUCUAAGUACCCCGAGGAAAAGAAAUCAACCGAGAUUCCCCCAGUAGCGGCGAGCGAACGGGGAGCAGCCCAGAGUCUGAAUCAGCUUGUGUGUUAGUGGAACGGUCUGGAAAGUCCGACGGUACAGGGUGAUAGUCCCGUACACCAAAAUGCACAGGCUGUGAACUCGAAGAGUAGGGCGGGACACGUGGUAUCCUGUCUGAAUAUGGGGGGACCAUCCUCCAAGGCUAAAUACUCCUGACUGACCGAUAGUGAACCAGUACCGUGAGGGAAAGGCGAAAAGAACCCCGGCGAGGGGAGUGAAAAAGAACCUGAAACCGUGUACGUACAAGCAGUGGGAGCACCUUCGGGUGUGACUGCGUACCUUUUGUAUAAUGGGUCAGCGACUUAUAUUCUGUAGCAAGGUUAACCGUAUAGGGGAGCCGCAGGGAAACCGAGUCUUAACUGGGCGUUAAGUUGCAGGGUAUAGACCCGAAACCCGGUGAUCUAGCCAUGGGCAGGUUGAAGGUUGGGUAACACUAACUGGAGGACCGAACCGACUAAUGUUGAAAAAUUAGCGGAUGACUUGUGGCUGGGGGUGAAAGGCCAAUCAAACCGGGAGAUAGCUGGUUCUCCCCGAAAGCUAUUUAGGUAGCGCCUCGUGAACUCAUCUUCGGGGGUAGAGCACUGUUUCGGCUAGGGGGUCAUCCCGACUUACCAACCCGAUGCAAACUACGAAUACCGAAGAAUGUUAUCACGGGAGACACACGGCGGGUGCUAACGUCCGUCGUGAAGAGGGAAACAACCCAGACCGCCAGCUAAGGUCCCAAAGUCAUGGUUAAGUGGGAAACGAUGUGGGAAGGCACAGACAGCCAGGAUGUUGGCUUAGAAGCAGCCAUCAUUUAAAGAAAGCGUAAUAGCUCACUGGUCGAGUCGGCCUGCGCGGAAGAUGUAACGGGGCUAAACCAUGCACCGAAGCUGCGGCAGCGACACUAUGUGUUGUUGGGUAGGGGAGCGUUCUGUAAGCCUGCGAAGGUGACCUGUGAGGGUUGCUGGAGGUAUCAGAAGUGCGAAUGCUGACAUAAGUAACGAUAAAGCGGGUGAAAAGCCCGCUCGCCGGAAGACCAAGGGUUCCUGUCCAACGUUAAUCGGGGCAGGGUGAGUCGACCCCUAAGGCGAGGCCGAAAGGCGUAGUCGAUGGGAAACAGGUUAAUAUUCCUGUACUUGGUGUUACUGCGAAGGGGGGACGGAGAAGGCUAUGUUAGCCGGGCGACGGUUGUCCCGGUUUAAGCAUGUAGGCUGGUUAUCCAGGCAAAUCCGGAUAAUCAAGGCUGAGGUGUGAUGACGAGGCACUACGGUGCUGAAGUAACAAAUGCCCUGCUUCCAGGAAAAGCCUCUAAGCAUCAGGUAACAUCAAAUCGUACCCCAAACCGACACAGGUGGUCAGGUAGAGAAUACCAAGGCGCUUGAGAGAACUCGGGUGAAGGAACUAGGCAAAAUGGUGCCGUAACUUCGGGAGAAGGCACGCUGGUGUGUAGGUGAAGCCCCUGCGGGUGGAGCUGAGACCAGUCGAAGAUACCAGCUGGCUGCAACUGUUUAUUAAAAACACAGCACUGUGCAAACACGAAAGUGGACGUAUACGGUGUGACGCCUGCCCGGUGCCGGAAGGUUAAUUGAUGGGGUUAUCCGUAAGGAGAAGCUCUUGAUCGAAGCCCCGGUAAACGGCGGCCGUAACUAUAACGGUCCUAAGGUAGCGAAAUUCCUUGUCGGGUAAGUUCCGACCUGCACGAAUGGCGUAAUGAUGGCCAGGCUGUCUCCACCCGAGACUCAGUGAAAUUGAACUCGCUGUGAAGAUGCAGUGUACCCGCGGCAAGACGGAAAGACCCCGUGAACCUUUACUAUAGCUUGACACUGAACAUUGAGCCUUGAUGUGUAGGAUAGGUGGGAGGCUUUGAAGCGUGGACGCCAGUCUGCGUGGAGCCAACCUUGAAAUACCACCCUUUAAUGUUUGAUGUUCUAACGUUGGCCCCUUACCGGGGUUGCGGACAGUGUCUGGUGGGUAGUUUGACUGGGGCGGUCUCCUCCCAAAGCGUAACGGAGGAGCACGAAGGUUAGCUAAUCCUGGUCGGACAUCAGGAGGUUAGUGCAAUGGCAUAAGCUAGCUUGACUGCGAGCGUGACGGCGCGAGCAGGUGCGAAAGCAGGUCAUAGUGAUCCGGUGGUUCUGAAUGGAAGGGCCAUCGCUCAACGGAUAAAAGGUACUCCGGGGAUAACAGGCUGAUACCGCCCAAGAGUUCAUAUCGACGGCGGUGUUUGGCACCUCGAUGUCGGCUCAUCACAUCCUGGGGCUGAAGUAGGUCCCAAGGGUAUGGCUGUUCGCCAUUUAAAGUGGUACGCGAGCUGGGUUUAGAACGUCGUGAGACAGUUCGGUCCCUAUCUGCCGUGGGCGCUGGAGAAUUGAGGGGGGCUGCUCCUAGUACGAGAGGACCGGAGUGGACGCAUCACUGGUGUUCGGGUUGUCAUGCCAAUGGCACUGCCCGGUAGCUAAAUGCGGAAGAGAUAAGUGCUGAAAGCAUCUAAGCACGAAACUUGCCCCGAGAUGAGUUCUCCCUGAGACUUUAAGUCUCCUGAAGGAACGUUGAAGACGACGACGUUGAUAGGCCGGGUGUGUAAGCGCAGCGAUGCGUUGAGCUAACCGGUACUAAUGAACCGUGAGGCUUAACCUU
This 2902-nucleotide ribosomal RNA is filed under the name Klebsiella pneumoniae. RNAcentral's name for it is "23S ribosomal RNA". It matches the Rfam family "Bacterial large subunit ribosomal RNA". The record is from RNAcentral. RNAcentral also lists the same sequence under 1 other name. Lineage: Bacteria; Pseudomonadati; Pseudomonadota; Gammaproteobacteria; Enterobacterales; Enterobacteriaceae.